AGUGCUCGCUAAGCUGAUCUGGGACCUGCAGUCCCUUCCUGUCGGUUCUGGACUCAGAGAACCUGAGCUACAUCGCUCAGGCUCAGAAGAAAUCCAUCUCAGGAGCUUCUGUCCAAGCUGCAGACACAAGAUACUCCUGCAGUGGAAGAUGCUGAGUACAUGCUGAUGAGCUGCCUGUCAUCGUCUCCUAGCAACGAGCUGACGGACAUACCUACAGGUGUUCGAACCUCUGAGCUGAUCUCUAAACACGACUCAUCAGUCUGGCUGAGGAACGGAGGUGAGUCUACACACACUGA
Long non-coding RNA from Scomber scombrus (Atlantic mackerel), 296 nucleotides. RefSeq lists it as uncharacterized. NCBI's taxonomy places the organism in Eukaryota, Metazoa, Chordata, Actinopteri, Scombriformes, Scombridae. The record is from RefSeq and is a predicted model, not a curated record. The transcript is spliced from 3 exons.